AGUGAACGCUGGCGGUAGGCCUAACACAUGCAAGUCGAACGGCAGCACAGUAAGAGCUUGCUCUUACGGGUGGCGAGUGGCGGACGGGUGAGGAAUACAUCGGAAUCUACUUUUUCGUGGGGGAUAACGUAGGGAAACUUACGCUAAUACCGCAUACGACCUACGGGUGAAAGCAGGGGAUCUUCGGACCUUGCGCGAUUGAAUGCGCCGAUGUCGGAUUAGCUAGUUGGCGGGGUAAAGGCCCACCAAGGCGACGAUCCGUAGCUGGUCUGAGAGGAUGAUGAGCCACUGUGGAACUGAGAGACGGCACAGAGUCUGACGGGAGGCAGCAGUGGGGAAUAUAGGCAAAUGGGGGGAAGACUGAUCAAGCCAUACCGCGUGGGUGAAGAAGGCCUUCGGGUUGUAAAGCCCUUUGUUGGGAAAGAAAAGCAGCAGGUUAAUACCCCGCUGUACUGACGGUACCCAAAGAAUAAGCACCGGCUAACUUCGUG
This 491-nucleotide ribosomal RNA is filed under the name uncultured bacterium. RNAcentral's name for it is "partial 16S ribosomal RNA". It matches the Rfam family "Bacterial small subunit ribosomal RNA", at positions 29 to 507 of the family's 1533-position model. The record is from RNAcentral.